Molecule: unclassified non-coding RNA, 329 nt
Filed under: soil metagenome
Description: partial contains 5.8S ribosomal RNA, internal transcribed spacer 2, and large subunit ribosomal RNA
Rfam family: 5.8S ribosomal RNA (bases 1-120)
Source: RNAcentral
GAUGAAGAAUGUAGCGAAAUGCGAUACGUAAUGUGAAUUGCAGAUUUCAGUGAAUCAUCGAAUCUUUGAACGCACAUUGCGCCCGCCAGUAUUCUGGCGGGCAUGCCUGUUCGAGCGUCAUUUCAACCAUCAAGCCUUCGCUUGUGUUGGGGCCCCGCGGCUGCCGCGGCCCCCUAAAUCCAGUGGCGGGCUCGUCGUCGUACCGAGCGCAGUAGACAUCCUCGCUCCGGGAACCCGACGGGUGCCGGCCGUGAAACCCCCCCCAUCAAGGUUGACCUCGGAUCAGGUAGGAAUACCCGCUGAACUUAAGCAUAUCAAUAAGCGGAGGA